AAUGAACGCUGGCGGCAGGCCUAACACAUGCAAGUCGAACGGAUCCUUCGGGAUUAGUGGCGGACGGGUGAGUAACGCGUGGGAACAUACCCUUUGGUACGGAAUAGCCUCGGGAAACUGGGAGUAAUACCGUAUGUGCUCUUCGGAGGAAAGAUUUAUCGCCAAAGGAUUGGCCCGCGUUGGAUUAGGUAGUUGGUGGGGUAAUGGCCUACCAAGCCGACGAUCCAUAGCUGGUUUGAGAGGAUGAUCAGCCACACUGGGACUGAGACACGGCCCAGACUCCUACGGGAGGCAGCAGUGGGGAAUCUUAGACAAUGGGGGAAACCCUGAUCUAGCCAUGCCGCGUGAUCGAUGAAGGCCUUAGGGUUGUAAAGAUCUUUCAGUGGGGAAGAUAAUGACGGUACCCACAGAAGAAGCCCCGGCUAACUCCGUGCCAGCAGCCGCGGUAAU
This 450-nucleotide ribosomal RNA is filed under the name uncultured bacterium. RNAcentral's name for it is "bacterial SSU rRNA". It matches the Rfam family "Bacterial small subunit ribosomal RNA", at positions 29 to 524 of the family's 1533-position model. The record is from RNAcentral.